UUGCCAGCCCGCUCAGAACGUCAAGGAAUUGACGGGGCCCGCACAAGCGGAGGAGCAUGUGGUUAAUUCGAUGAUACGCGAGGAACUUACCUGGGCUCGAACGUAAGAUGACUGUAGGUGAAAGCUUACAUCUCUUCGGAGCAUUUUACGAGGUGCUGCAUGGUUGUCGUCAGCUCGUGCCGUGAGGUGUCGGGUUAAGUCCCAUAACGAGCGCAACCCCUACCUUUAGUUGCCAUCAGGUUAAGCUGGGGACUCUAAAGGAACUGCCUACGCAAGUAGUGAGGAAGGCGGGGAUGACGUCAAAUCAGCACGGCCCUUACGUCCAGGGCUACACACGUGCUACAAUGGCCGAUACAGAGGGCAGCUACCUGGUGACAGGAUGCAAAUCUCCAAAGUCGGUCUCAGUUCGGAUCGGAGUCUGCAACCCGACUCCGUGAAGUUGGAUUCGCUAGUAAUCGCGCAUCAGCCAUGGCGCGGUGAAUACGUUCCCGGGCCUU
Molecule: ribosomal RNA, 497 nt
Filed under: uncultured Sphingobacteriales bacterium
Lineage: Bacteria; Pseudomonadati; Bacteroidota; Sphingobacteriia; Sphingobacteriales
Description: bacterial SSU rRNA
Rfam family: Bacterial small subunit ribosomal RNA
Source: RNAcentral